AUGAACGCUGGCGGCGUGUCUAAGGCAUGCAAGUCGAAUGGGUUUAGACCCAUGGCAAACGGGUGCGUAACACAUUGGUAACCUACCUCGAAGUUCGGCAUAACCCCUCGAAAGAGGGGCUAAUACCGGAUGUGAUCCCGCAAUUAUUUUGCGGGAUGAAAGAUUUAUCGCUUUGAGAGGGGCCUAUGGCCUAUCAGCUAGUUGGUGAGGUAAUAGCUCACCAAGGCUACGACGGGUAGCGGGCGUGAGAGCGCGACCCGCCUCACUGGGACUGAGACACUGCCCAGACUCCUACGGGAGGCUGCAGUCAAGAAUAUUCCCCAAUGGACGAAAGUCUGAGGGAGCGACGCCGCGUGAUUGAAGAAGCCCUUCGGGGUGUAAAAAUCUUUUAUUAGGGACGAAUCAAUGACGGUACCUAAUGAAUAAGGGGCUGCUAACUUCGU
RNAcentral lists this ribosomal RNA (443 nucleotides) under uncultured bacterium. RNAcentral describes it as "bacterial SSU rRNA". It matches the Rfam family "Bacterial small subunit ribosomal RNA", at positions 29 to 506 of the family's 1533-position model. The record is from RNAcentral.